Molecule: ribosomal RNA, 49 nt
Filed under: Coniolariella hispanica
Lineage: Eukaryota; Fungi; Ascomycota; Sordariomycetes; Xylariales; Xylariaceae
Description: partial 28S ribosomal RNA
Source: RNAcentral
GGUGACCUCGAAUCAGGUAGGAAUACCCGCUGAACUUAAGCAUAUCAAU